AACGAACGCUGGCGGCAUGCCUAACACAUGCAAGUCGAACGAGACCUUCGGGUCUAGUGGCGCACGGGUGCGUAACGCGUGGGAACCUGCCCUUAGGUUCGGAAUAACUCCCCGAAAGGGGUGCUAAUACCGGAUAAUGUCUUCGGACCAAAGAUUUAUCGCCGUUGGAUGGGCCCGCGUUGGUUUAGCUAGUUGGUAGGGUAAAAGCCUACCAAGGCGACGAUCCAUAGCUGGUCUGAGAGGAUGAUCAGCCACACUGGGACUGAGACACGGCCCAGACUCCUACGGGAGGCAGCAGUGGGGAAUAUUGGACAAUGGGCGAAAGCCUGAUCCAGCAAUGCCGCGUGAGUGAUGAAGGCCUUAGGGUUGUAAAACUCUUUUACCCGGGAGGAUAAUGACAGUACCGGGAGAAUAAGCUCCGGCUAACUCCGUG
RNAcentral lists this ribosomal RNA (433 nucleotides) under uncultured bacterium. RNAcentral describes it as "partial 16S ribosomal RNA". It matches the Rfam family "Bacterial small subunit ribosomal RNA", at positions 29 to 507 of the family's 1533-position model. The record is from RNAcentral.